UACGUAGGAUGCAAGCGUUGUCCGGAUUUACUGGGCGUAAAGCGCGCGCAGGCGGCAUACCAAGUAUUCAGUGAAAUCUCCCUGCUCAACGGGGAGGGUGCUGAGUAGACUGGUAAGCUAGAGGACGGUAGAGGGGGGUAGAAUUGCUGGUGUAGCGGUGAAAUGCGUAGAGAUCAGCAGGAAUACCCGUGGCGAAGGCGGCCCCCUGGGUUAACACUGACGCUCAGGCACGAAAGCGUGGGGAGCAAACAGG
This 253-nucleotide ribosomal RNA is filed under the name uncultured bacterium. RNAcentral's name for it is "partial 16S ribosomal RNA". It matches the Rfam family "Bacterial small subunit ribosomal RNA", at positions 524 to 776 of the family's 1533-position model. The record is from RNAcentral.